This 77-nucleotide transfer RNA is filed under the name Rickettsiaceae bacterium. Its description in RNAcentral is "tRNA-Asp". It matches the Rfam family "tRNA". Rfam says of the family: Transfer RNA (tRNA) molecules are approximately 80 nucleotides in length. Their secondary structure includes four short double-helical elements and three loops (D, anti-codon, and T loops). Further hydrogen bonds mediate the characteristic L-shaped molecular structure. tRNAs have two regions of fundamental functional importance: the anti-codon, which is responsible for specific mRNA codon recognition, and the 3' end, to which the tRNAs corresponding amino acid is attached (by aminoacyl-tRNA synthetases). tRNAs cope with the degeneracy of the genetic code in two manners: having more than one tRNA (with a specific anti-codon) for a particular amino acid; and 'wobble' base-pairing, i.e. permitting non-standard base-pairing at the 3rd anti-codon position. The record is from RNAcentral. Lineage: Bacteria; Pseudomonadati; Pseudomonadota; Alphaproteobacteria; Rickettsiales; Rickettsiaceae.
GGGGGUGUAGCUCAGCUGGUUAGAGUAUCUGCCUGUCACGCAGAGGGCCGCGGGUUCGAGUCCCGUCACUCCCGCCA